RNAcentral lists this ribosomal RNA (450 nucleotides) under uncultured prokaryote. Its description in RNAcentral is "bacterial SSU rRNA". It matches the Rfam family "Bacterial small subunit ribosomal RNA", at positions 355 to 796 of the family's 1533-position model. The record is from RNAcentral.
UGGGGAAUCUUGCGCAAUGGGCGAAAGCCUGACGCAGCAACGCCGUGUUUGCGAUGAAGGCCCUCGGGUCGUAAAGCACUGUUUACGGGAAAGACGGGUCGGCUCGUUAAUAUCGAGUGGGUUUGACGGUACCCGUGUAGGAAGCACCGCCUAACUCUGUGCCAGCAGCCGCGGUAAUACAGAGGGUGCAAGCGUUGUUCGGAAUUAUUGGGGGUAAAGCGCGCGUAGGCGGUUAUUCAAGUCGGAUGUGAAAGCCCGGGGCUCAACCUCGGAAGUGCAUCCGAAACUGGAUGACUUGAAUCCUGGAGGGGGCAGUGGAAUUCCCGGUGUAGAGGUGAAAUUCGUAGAUAUCGGGAGGAACACCAGUGGCGAGGGCGACUGCCUGGACAGUGAUUGACGCUGAGGUGCGAAAGCGUGGGUAGCAAACAGGAUUAGAUACCCGCGUAGUCC